Molecule: ribosomal RNA, 864 nt
Filed under: Triticum aestivum (bread wheat)
Lineage: Eukaryota; Viridiplantae; Streptophyta; Magnoliopsida; Poales; Poaceae
Description: partial small subunit ribosomal RNA
Source: RNAcentral
AUGAUCGACCUCGGGCGCAACUAUCUCCUAGCGGAAGGCUUCAUCAUCAACACCAUGGAUGCGUUGGAGCACGAGACGCUGGUGGCGUUCAAAGAGAUUUCUGACAAGGGCGUGUACCCUCCGGCGUACGCCGUGGGUCCAUUCACACGGCGGCGGUGCCCCGACUCCGACGAGGUCAAGCACAGCUGCUUACGGUGGCUGGACAACCAGCCGGGCGGCUCGGUCUUGUACGUGUCCUUCGGCAGCGGUGGCACGCUGUCCACGGCGCAGACGGCCGAGCUGGCGGCUGGGCUGGAGGCGAGCGGGCAGAGGUUCCUCUGGGUGGUGCACCACCCCAACGAAAAGGACAGCAGCGCGGCCUACCUCGGCACUGCCGCUACCGAUGCCGACCCGCUGAGCUAUCUGCCCGAUGGAUUCGUCGAGAGGAUGAACGGUACAGGGCUCCUUGUGCCACUGUGGGCGCCGCAGGUGGAGAUCCUUAACCACGUCGCCGUGGGAGGGUUCAUGUCUCAUGGCAGAUGGAACUCCACGCUGGAGACCGUGGCGGCGGGCGUGCCGAUGGUGGCGUGGCCACUGUACGCCGAGCAGAGGAUGAACGCGGUGAUGCUGUCGUCGGAUCAGGUGGGCCUGGCUUUGUGGGAGAGGCCUCCCCUAGGUAAGGACGGAGCGUUUGUCCCACAGGAGGAGGUGGCGGCGCUGGUCAGAGAGCUUAUGGAAGGGGAGAAGGGCGCCGCGGCGCGGAAAAAGGCUGGUCACCUCCGGGAUGAAGCCGAGAUUGCUUCGGCGCCGGGUGGGCCGCAGGAUCGAGCUCUCACGGUAGUGGCUGGCAUAGUUUCCUUGCAUCGGAAGAGCCACGUUGUGUAA